RNAcentral lists this ribosomal RNA (859 nucleotides) under uncultured bacterium. Its description in RNAcentral is "bacterial SSU rRNA". It matches the Rfam family "Bacterial small subunit ribosomal RNA", at positions 52 to 905 of the family's 1533-position model. The record is from RNAcentral.
CACAUGCAAGUCGAACGAGAAAGCGGGGGCAACCCCGUGAGUAAAGUGGCAACGGGUGAGUAACACGUAGCUAACCUACCCUCGAGCGGGGGAUAACCUGGGGAAACUCGGGCUAAUACCGCAGAACAUCCCGGUGACACAAGUCAUGGGGAGCAAAGGCCCGCAAGGGUCACUUGAGGAGGGGGCUGCGGCCGAUUAGCUAGUUGGUAGGGUAACGGCCUACCAAGGCUAUGAUCGGUAGCCGGCCUGAGAGGGCGCACGGUCACACUGGCACUGAAACACGGGCCAGACUCCUACGGGAGGCAGCAGUGGGGAAUUUUGCACAAUGCCCGAAAGGGUGAUGCAGCAACGCCGCGUGAGGGAUGAAGGCCUUCAGGUCGUAAACCUCUUUCCACUGGGAAAAACGGGCGGGUGAAGAACCCGUUCUGAUGGUACCGGUGGAAGAAGCCCCGGCCAACUACGUGCCAGCAUCCGCGGUAAUACCUACGGGGCGAGCGUUGUUCGUAAUUAUUGGGCGUAUAGGGCGUGUAGGCGGUGCGGUAAGUCGGGCGUGAAAUCUCCAGGCUUAACUUGGAGAGGUCGCUCGGAACUGCCGUGCUCGAGUGUGGGAGAGGAAAGCGGAAUUCCCGGUGUAGCGGUGAAAUGCGUAGAUAUCGGGAGGAACAUCUGCGGCGAAGGCGGCUUUCUGGACCACAACUGACGAUGAGGCGCGAAAGCUAGGGGAGCAAACAGGAUUAGAUACCCUGGUAGUCCUAGCCCUAAACGAUGAACACUGGGUGUGGCCCUUCACGGGGCCGUGCCGGAGCUAACGCGUUAAGUGUUCCGCCUGGGGAGUACGGUCGCAAGGCGGAAACUUAAA